Molecule: long non-coding RNA, 1139 nt
Organism: Oenanthe melanoleuca
Lineage: Eukaryota; Metazoa; Chordata; Aves; Passeriformes; Muscicapidae
Exons: 3
Source: RefSeq, a predicted model, not a curated record
GGAGCUAUGCAGCCACGCAACCAUGAUUGUAGCACACUAAGGAGCACACACACUGCAUGAACAAAGCUGGUGGAUACGUGCUGGAAAUUUGCUUCUCAGCAUGGCCACAGAGACAAAUAGCAGUGCAUCUACUUUGUUAGGACUUUAGAAAAUGUGUGGUGCUCUAUUAGUGAACCAGAAAACAGUAUAAAUUUGUCACUAAUUUAAUUUCUCACAGACAUGCAAAACUGUGCAGUCUGAAGUGCAGAACCUUUUCAAACUUUUUGUUUAAACUUUUGACAGAGACAAUAAUUGGUCCAGAAAACUAAGCUGUUGACCUGGAGCUCAAAUUGAAUAUAAAUAUAUGUCUCUGGCUAGAUGAUUCAGCUUUAAAAUCACAUCAAAAUGAUCUAUUUAUGAAAAACGUCCUUUUCUGGAUCGUGAUGUACUUAAAUUCCAGGUUUUGAUGUUCACAUUUCUAUAUUUAUCCUCCCACUAUUUUAAAAUACAUGCUCAGCUUCCUCAGGUUUCUUAAAUGUAAUUCUUCUUAUAGAAGAAGCACACCAUAGAAAAUUUUUGCCUCAGAGGUAUACAUUUGGAAAAAAACACACUAAGCAUAAGCAGUUUCCUUAAAGCUUAUAGUGACAUAGUAAAUCGAUCCUAACGAAUACAGACAAUGUCUGUAAAUCACUCCAAAACACUGGUGUGAGCAGAUGUCCGAGGACGCCUGCCGCCUGUUCCUGAACCGCCUGGGGCGGAUUUCAGCCCCGGCUUUCCAACGCCGCCUGUGAAAUCCGGCCAAGUUACUCGCGUUUAUGAUCAGGACUCCCAAACCUGUUUGUCACACCUCUUCCGCUGGGCUCGGCCAGCGAAGGCAACCGAUUCUAUCAUUAUCUGAACUGAAGAAAUCCACUGGCCCCCCGACCGAGCAGCACCCUGGGCUGCCCCGGCCGCUUCCCGCGCCUUUGUCACCUCAGAACCCUCCAGUCGUCACCGCUUCCCUGCCCGCCCUUCCUCCUCUCCUCCCAGUCCCGCUUAGGCAAACAAGGCCUGUUACAAGCAGCCAGUGAAGAGGAAAACUCUAGCGAUGCUAAAAAGGAGAAAUUAAAGUGUAUCUAAAACUCCUACAGCACCCUGCGAACCCCAAACACGCUACCGGG